GAUGAACGCUGGCGGCGUGCCUAAUACAUGCAAGUCGAGCGAACGGACGAGAAGCUUGCUUUUCUGAUGUUAGCGGCGGACGGGUGAGUAACACGUGGAUAACCUACCUAUAAGACUGGGAUAACUUCGGGAAACCGGAGCUAAUACCGGAUAAUAUUUUGAACCGCAUGGUUCAAAAGUGAAAGACGGUCUUGCUGUCACUUAUAGAUGGAUCCGCGCUGCAUUAGCUAGUUGGUAAGGUAACGGCUUACCAAGGCAACGAUGCAUAGCCGACCUGAGAGGGUGAUCGGCCACACUGGAACUGAGACACGGUCCAGACUCCUACGGGAGGCAGCAGUAGGGAAUCUGCCGCAAUGGGCGAAAGCCUGACGGAGCAACGCCGCGUGAGUGAUGAAGGUCUUCGGAUCGUAAAACUCUGUUAUUAGGGAAGAACAUAUGUGUAAGUAACUGUGCACAUCUUGACGGUACCUAAUCAGAAAGCCACGGCUAACUACGUG
Molecule: ribosomal RNA, 497 nt
Filed under: uncultured bacterium
Lineage: Bacteria
Description: partial 16S ribosomal RNA
Rfam family: Bacterial small subunit ribosomal RNA
Source: RNAcentral